CAUUGCUAUUGGGAUCCGAUUUAGGCCAUGCUAGUCGCACGAGUUCAGACUCGUGGCGAAUAGCUCAGUAACACGUGGCCAAACUACCCUUUCGGAACACAAUACCCUCGGGAAACUGAGGCUAAUAGUGUAUACCAUACCACCACUGGAAUGAGUGGUAUGCCAAACGCUCCGGCGCCGAAGGAUGUGGCUGCGGCCGAUUAGGUAGACGGUGGGGUAAUGGCCCACCGUGCCAAUAAUCGGUAUGGGUCAUGAGAGUGAGAACCCAGAGACGGAAUCUGAGACAAGAUUCCGGGCCCUACGGGGCGCAGCAGGCGCGAAACCUUUACACUGCACGACAGUGCGAUAGGGGGAUCCCAAGUGCACAGGCAUAGCGCCUGUGCUUUUCGGUACCGUAAGGUGGUACCAGAAUAAGGGCUGGGCAAGACCGGUGCCAGCCGCCGCGGUAAUACCGGCAGCCCAAGUGAUGGCCGAUCUUAUUGGGCCUAAAGCGUCCGUAGCUGGCCGCGCAAGUCCAUCGGGAAAUCCACCUGCUCAACAGGUGGGCGCCCGGUAGAAACUGCGUGGCUUGGGACCGGAAGGCGCGACGGGUACGUCCGGGGUAGGAGUGAAAUCCCGUAAUCCUGGACGGACCGCCGAUGGCGAAAGCACGUCGCGAGGACGGAUCCGACAGUGAGGGACGAAAGCCAGGGUCUCGAACCGGAUUAGAUACCCGGGUAGUCCUGGCCGUAAACAAUGUCUGCUAGGUGUGGCUCCCACUACGAGUGGGUGCUGUGCCGUAGGGAAGCCGCUAAGCAGACCGCCUGGGAAGUACGUCCGCAAGGAUGAAACUAAAG
RNAcentral lists this ribosomal RNA (836 nucleotides) under Halorubrum sp. ADMK106. RNAcentral describes it as "bacterial SSU rRNA". It matches the Rfam family "Archaeal small subunit ribosomal RNA", at positions 25 to 861 of the family's 1478-position model. The record is from RNAcentral. Lineage: Archaea; Methanobacteriati; Methanobacteriota; Halobacteria; Halobacteriales; Haloferacaceae.